GACGAACGCUGGCGGCGUGCUUAACACAUGCAAGUCGAACGAAGUGGCGAACGGGUGAGUAACGCGUAAUCAACCUGCCCUUCAGAGGGGGACAACAGUUGGAAACGACUGCUAAUACCGCAUACUGAAGGAGGGGAUUGCGUGGGAUUAGGUAGUUGGGGGGGUAACGGCCCAGCAAGGCGAUCAUAAGUAGCCGGUCUGAGAAGGUGAACGGGCACAUUGGGACUGAUGCACGGCCCCGGAUCCUACGGGAGGCAGCAAUGGGGAAGCUUCCGCAAUGGACGAAAGUCUUACGGGGCAACGCCGCGUGAGUGAUGACGGCCUUCGGGUUGGAAAGCUCUGUUAAUCGGGACGCGGUACCGGAAUAGAAAGCCACGGCUAACUACGUGCCAGCCGCCGCGGUAAUUC
This 408-nucleotide ribosomal RNA is filed under the name uncultured bacterium. RNAcentral's name for it is "partial 16S ribosomal RNA". It matches the Rfam family "Bacterial small subunit ribosomal RNA", at positions 28 to 526 of the family's 1533-position model. The record is from RNAcentral.